This 91-nucleotide microRNA precursor is filed under the name Paramuricea clavata. Lineage: Eukaryota; Metazoa; Cnidaria; Anthozoa; Malacalcyonacea; Plexauridae. The record is from RNAcentral.
AAUUGUUUUUGUUUGUGGAAACACCACGUAAAUUUAUUACUGCAGUAAUAAAUUUACGCGGUGUUUCCACAAACAAAAACAAUUAUAUUUU